CACAUAGUGGGUUGAGGAUCAGGUAUUGCUGCAGCUGUGGUGAAGGCUGCACUCAGCUCUGACCUGGAUUUCCCUGGCCCAGGAACUUUCAUAUGCCAUGGGUGUGGCCAGAAAAAAAAAAUUGGAAUUAAAAAUAUAGCAGGCUCCCACAGUGGUUAAGAACAUGGGAACUAUAUUCAAUGUCUUUAAGAACCUAUAAUGGAAAAUAAUCUGAAAAAUAUACAUAUAACUGAAUCACUGCUGUAUAUCAGAAACUAACACAAUAUUAUAAAUCAACAGUAUUUCAAUUAAAAAGAAAAAGGACAAUUAAGUCAGCUUGAUAGGGUUCAAAUCUCAAUCCUUCACUUACCAGCUGUAUAACCUUGAGGAAGUUAUUUAAUCUCUCUGAAACUCAUUUUCUUCAUCUGUAAAAUGAAUGAUAAUAAUACCUGCUCAUAAGGUUAUUGUGAGGAUUAGUAAAUCAAGGCAUGCAAAGCAUUUAAGAACAAUUCACAGUAUAUUAAAAAAUGCUCAGAAAGUUUAAUCUAUUCUAGACUGGGCUCUGUCACUAGAUUGUUUUUUUUUUUUUUUUUAAUUUUAUUUUCCCACUGUACAGCAAGGGGGUGUCACUAGAUUGUUAAGUGACUUAGGGCCAGUCACCUUCCAUUUCUAGCCUUAAGUUUUCUCAUGUGUAAAAUGGGACAGUAAAAUCUACUUCAUAUUCCUGACAUGUCAAAAGUACUCAUUAAAUGAUCUUUUUUUGUCCUUUAUCUUGCACUAUGUCAAGGAAAUUCCACAAGCAUCAUUGAUAUAGUUGUCUGUGCUCAAAGUAGAUUUUGAAUAUUCAGCUAUCUCCCAUUGAUGUACGAAGCUGAUUCAGCCAGUAAAAAAGAAAGAAUACAAAAGCUACAGUCUAAUGAGGGAAAAAUCCCUUGGUGGGAUGGUAGUAGAAGAGAAGUGUCAGAGUAGGAGAAGCCUCUAAGGACAUCCUUAAGACAUCUGAUUCAAGCGGCAUAGUGAAAAACAGCGUUUAUGCAAUCAUGAUACAAUCCAGUCUCAAGUUUUAGCAGUUAAAGCUACAUUGGAGAUUAGCCCAGAUAAGAGAAUGGCAGAAACUAAAAAGGAAAAUGAGCUCUUUAAGAAGGAACUAUGAAAAGUGGGAGACUGAAAGAAAAGAAAGCAAGAGGAAGGAGAGAGAAAAAAGGAAGGAAGGACAUUUGGUCAGGUGGCAAUCAGGUUUAGGAGGUUCUGAGCAAAUACCUCCUUGCUCACAGUGAGAAAAACAUCACAAAUAGGAUUUUCCAGCUAAAGACAAAAGAGCAGACAGAUGAUCUUCAGGAGUGUAAGUCUCUAACUAGUAUAUUAAUCAAGGCCCCCUCUCCUUACUCCACCAGACUCUCCCAUCAACUAAACUCAAGUGCUAGUGAGAGAAACUCAGCAAUAACCCCCUGCUGUCAUUCUAGAUCAAUAUGCCUAGCGAUUUUGCCCAAGUCACUUAAUGCACAUGCUUGGAUUUUUCCCAUCUGUAAAAAUAAGUGAAGAAAGCUGCCAGGGGAAAGAUAAUUGACCAAUUCCUAACAUUUUUGGUCAGAUUAAUUGGAGUCAAUUUAGAGUAGAAAUACUGGAGCUUCUUAGCUUCCAAAUGAUCAUAAUUUACCCUACCAAAUAGCCUAAUUGGAAACAUUAUAGCUAUCAGUUGAUUUAGCUAACCAUAUAGUAACUCUACUUUCAGUUUUUUAAGGAACCUCCAUAUUAUUUUCCAUAGUGCUUGCACCAAUGAUCUUCCCACCGACAGUGUAUGACGGUUGCCUUUUCUUCACAUCCUCUCUAGCCUUUAUUAUUUGCAGACUUUUUGCUUAUGGCCAUUCUGAAUGAUGUGAGGUGAUACUUCGGUGUAGUUUUGAUUUACAUUUCCAUAAUAAUUAACAAUGCUGAGCAACUUUUUCAUGUGCCUACUGCCCAUCUGUAAGUCUUUCGAGAAAUGUCUAUUUAGGUCUUUUACUCAUUUUUUAAAUUGGUUUGUUUGUGUUUUUUUGUUACUGGAUUGUAUGAGCUUUUCAUAUAUAUUUUGGGGAUUAAGCCUUUGUCAGUCGCAUCAUUUGCAAAUAUUUUCUCCUAGUCCAUAGGUUGUUUUUUUUUUUUUUUCAUUUUUUUUACACUUUCCAUUGCUGUGCAAAAGCUUAUAAGUUUGAUUAGGUCCUAUUUGCUUAUUUUAAGUUUUUUCUUCUAUUGCCUUGGGAGACUGACCUAAGAAAACACUGCUAUGAUUUAUGUCAGAGAAUGUUUUGCCUAAAUUCUCUUCUAGGAGUUUUAUAGUGUCAUGUAUUACAUGUAAGUCUUUAAGCCAUUUUAAGUUCAUUGUUGUGUAUGGUGUGAGGGAAUGUUCUCAUUUUACUGAUUUACAUUGUCCUCUAUAUGCUCUGUUCAUAAGAAGAUGCAGGAGAAAUUGGGCAGUUACCCUGUUUUCCUCAGCCCUCUCUCUUUCAGCAAUUCCAAGAGUAGGAGAGGACUCACUUGAUUUUUCCCUCUGUUGGAAGCUCCCUGACUUCCUCCUCCUGGAACUAGGGCCUGUCCCCUUGGAAUGGGCUCCUUCUAGGAAUCAGACAACUACAUAACGACAGAAAGUAGAAGUGUGGCCUUAAAUCAGUGACCUAAUUUAAUUCUCUGUACCUUCUCCAAUCCUCAAAAGGAAGCCUAAAGAUAGAACUACAGCCUGGCUUGCUUUCUUGAAAUUUUAUGUCAGAAAAGGGUUUUUUUCAUGUCAAGCAGUUUCAUUCUUAAAGAUGGCUUGGGUAUGAUUACUCAGUUCUUUUUAGUACUUUGAUUCACCACAGGAAAGCAUGGCAGGUACAGAAAUCCUAACACCAUACCCAGAUCCACUUGCUUUGUCCAUAGUCUGCAAAAGAUGAUCUUACCUGCCUCAGCAACAUCUUUUCACACUGAACAUGUCUUUUCAAUUUUUUUUCUUUUUUCUUUUUUGUCUUUUUAGAGCCGCACCUGCGGUAUAUGGAGGGUCCCAGGCUUAGGAGUUGAAUUGGAGCUGUAGCCACUGGCCUACACCACAGCCAAAGUAAUGCCAGGCCCAAGCCACAUCUGCAGCCUACAUCACAGCUCACGGCAAUGCUGGAUCCUUAACCCACUGAGUGAGGCCAGGAAUUAAACCUGAGUCCUCAAGGAUGCUAGCAGAUUUGUUUCUGCUGAGCCAUGAUGGGAACUCCAACCAUUUCUUUUUUUUAACAGGAGGUGGUUUUGAAGGAUGGGGAGAGGAAAAGGAACACACACUUUCCUGAUGAACUUCCAAAUACAAGUACAAAAUAAAAUCACGGAUAAAAGUACAAAAGAUGGGCGAUUGCAAUUACUUAAAUUAGAAUUCUCAAAUGACAAAACAGUGGAGCUUGUAACUAUAAGUAUGAAAUAUUUAUUUCUGCAAAGUAUAUUUCCUUUCCUGGUCAGUUUGCUUGACUGGUAGUUUGUCCAGGUUGUUUAUCUGUCAUAUGUGUGAGUGCACACAUACAUGUGUGUGCAUGUGCAUAUGUUUUGGAGGCAAUAAUAAUGACAUACAGACUACCUUCAUUUUGUCCAUCUUCAUUUUGCCUUUCAAAUAGAGACAUAACAGAGUAGUUCCAGUUAUAAUUCCCUGGAAUUUCUGUAAAGGAAAUAAAAAGAUUUAGAACAAGAAUUUCUCAUUACUUAAAUGUAUGCUUAAGAAACUUGGAACUUAAUCUCUGAAAUCCAAAAUAAAUCUACCUCUAAAAUACAUAUCCUAAAUUUUAGAAUUCAUUUCAUAUGUCCUUAUUAUAAACUUAUAUUUUCAAAACUCGGGAAACAGCAUCCACUUCCUGCAACCAAAUCUAAGCUGAUUACUAUCUGUUAAAAAAUUAGCUCAAGCUUGGAAAGAGGCUAAAGAAAUUAGCGGGUGAUCUUUUACCGAAGUUCUCAGCUUACAUCUUCAGUUAGUUUUCUAUUGACUGGACUACUCUAUAACUCCAUAGGACAGGGGUUAACUUGAGGGUUUUUUUUUUUUGAUAGGUGAGAAAUAGAUUUAUUAAGAUAAGAUACCUGUGAGAGAUGCGAGCAGGCAGGCAAGGAGGCUCUGCCUAAUUUGUAGAUUUUUAUCUAACAUAGGUACAAAUAUUUUGUCUGUGGAAAAUAUAACUCCAAAGAUUAUGACUAAUGCACUUUAGGACUUUAAUUAGUUUUAUGUAUAAUUGAGAAAUCUUAACACUUCUUUAUGAAAUUGCCUAAAAUUACAUAGCUCCUAAAUUUUCAUUUGAACUGGCCUUAACAUCUCACUGAUUCCCUCAUUAAUUAGUGAGUUAAAUAAAAUCCUUUUUUUUUUUUUUUUUUUAAUGGCUGCACUUGUGGCAUAUGGAAAGUCCCAGGCUAGGGGUCGAAUCAGAGCUGUAGCUACAGGCAUAUACCACAGCCAUGGCAACACCAGAUCUGAGCCACAUCUGCAACCUAUACCACAGGUUGUGGCAACAAUAGAUCCUUAACCCAAUAAGCAAGGUCAGGGAUCAAACCUGCAUCCUCACGGACACUGUCGAGUUCUUCACCUGCUAAGCCACAACCGGAAUUCUUAAAUAAAAUCUUUGAUACCAUUUUAUAUUUAUAUAAGAGUCAUGUUUUUUAACUUUUAAAAAAAUUUUACUUUAUCAAACUCUAUGAAUAUACCACACAGAAAAUCCUUCUUUCUCUCCAUCCUUAACCCAAUUCAGAAAAGGCCAAUAAAGUAUAUUUAUUUUAGUUACUUAUUUCUUUCAGGUCUCCUAAGUCACUAAAUUUUCUAGGCCAAGACUAGAAAAUUUAACACGUAUUUUCAUCUUAAUUAUCCCAAACAAGAUUAGAUGGGACAAAAACCCAUAAUCUUGAGGGGAGUGUAAAAUCUAAGCUGAAAGAGUGUUUAGAGACAAGGGAUGCUCAACUGUCAGGAAAAAAAAUUAUCUAGACAACUGUGAUCACUUUAGAAGGAGAAGGCAUCUUCCAGUGCCCUCCAUGAGUCCUAAGUGACCUCAUUAAGGACACAAUUCACAUUCAAUAACCUAGGCAGAGCUGCAUCAAAUAACUUUAGGAGCCAGGGAGUUAACAGCAGUGAGAUGUAAUACAAUAUAAAAUGAAGCACCGGGUAUUGUGACAAAUCGGUGAAUACAUGCUUCCUAUAAAAUCAUCCAAUUAAAAAAAUUUUUUUUUGUUGUUUGUCUAUUUGGGGCCGCACCCAUGGCAUACGGAGGUUCCCAGGUUAGGGGUCAAAUUGGAGCUAUAGCUGCCAGCCUACAUCACAGCCACAGCAAUGUGGGAUCUGAGCUGCAUCUUCGACCUAGACCACAGCUCACGGCAACAAUGGAUCCUUAACCUACUGAGCAAGGCCAGGGAUCGAACCCUCAUCCUUAUGUAUACUAGUCAGGUUCGUUAACCACCGAGCCACAAUGGGAACUCCUCCAAUUUUUUUUAAAAGUAAAACGAACUACUGCGUAGGCAAAAAAAAAAAAAAAAAAAAAAA
Molecule: long non-coding RNA, 5479 nt
Filed under: Sus scrofa (pig)
Lineage: Eukaryota; Metazoa; Chordata; Mammalia; Artiodactyla; Suidae
Description: lncRNA (ENSSSCG00050000765.1)
Source: RNAcentral